UACGGAGGGUGCAAGCGUUGUCCGGAUUUAUUGGGUUUAAAGGGUGCGUAGGCGGCUAAUUAAGUCAGUGGUGAAAGCCUGUAGCUCAACUAUAGAACUGCCAUUGAUACUGAUUAGCUUGAGUAUGGUUGAGGUAAGCGGAAUGGAUGGUGUAGCGGUGAAAUGCAUAGAUAUCAUCCAGAACACCGAUAGCGAAGGCAGCUUACUGGGCCGAAACUGACGCUGAGGCACGAAAGCAUGGGGAUCGAAC
RNAcentral lists this ribosomal RNA (250 nucleotides) under uncultured bacterium. RNAcentral describes it as "partial 16S ribosomal RNA". It matches the Rfam family "Bacterial small subunit ribosomal RNA", at positions 524 to 773 of the family's 1533-position model. The record is from RNAcentral.